Salarias fasciatus (jewelled blenny) is the source of this 649-nucleotide long non-coding RNA. RefSeq lists it as uncharacterized. The transcript has 6 exons. The record is from RefSeq and is a predicted model, not a curated record. Lineage: Eukaryota; Metazoa; Chordata; Actinopteri; Blenniiformes; Blenniidae.
CUGGAACACGUUGGAUUCCGUACAAACUACUUAUGAGGAAGCGAGGGUCAAACUGCCAGAGCCUGAAAGAUUCACGGAUUUGACUGAUUCAGAAACCAGCCACAGAGACACAAACGGAGAACAAUGAAGAGGUGUCACAUUCAAGAUGAUGCGGAUAGUGAAGAUGAGACGUCGGGAGCAUCUACUUUACCUAGACCUCCAGAAAUGGCCACUGCAAAGAAGCUGUCACCCUCAAUCCUACAAUGGCGGGCGGAUGGACAGACAAACGGACAAAGAAACCCCAACGAUUACUUUACCUCUGCUGGCGGAGCGGGCAAAGUUUUACAUCAGAAGAUGACAAGAAUGCAGUAAGAAGAAAUCCAUUGACAGCCACAGCUACAGACCAGGAUAUUGAGCAGUGGAUUCGAAGGUGGCUCCAUGUUGCUGGGGACAGAGAAGGAGGACGCCGAGCCAGGCAGCGGCCUGAGUAAACUGACUGUUCUGCCGAAAGAAUUUCUGAUGUUACUUGUUGUAGUAGUAGUUCUUGUUUUAAAUGUUUAAGCAGGUUGGCUUUACAGCCAACACACACACACACACACACACACACACACACACACACACACACACACACACACACACACACAGUUUAUGCGUCCAGAUAGCAAACUAU